UCCAAACCUCUUUAACAGCAUCUUUG
RNAcentral lists this microRNA (26 nucleotides) under Tribolium castaneum (red flour beetle). RNAcentral describes it as "tca-miR-3883-3p". The record is from miRBase by way of RNAcentral. Lineage: Eukaryota; Metazoa; Arthropoda; Insecta; Coleoptera; Tenebrionidae.